CGCUGGCGGCAUGCCUUACACAUGCAAGUCGAACGGUAACGCGGGGCAACCUGGCGACGAGUGGCGAACGGGUGAGUAAUAUAUCGGAACGUGCCCAGCUGUGGGGGAUAACUGCUCGAAAGAGCAGCUAAUACCGCAUACGACCUGAGGGUGAAAGCGGGGGAUCGCAAGACCUCGCGCAAUUGGAGCGGCCGAUAUCAGAUUAGGUAGUUGGUGGGGUAAAGGCCUACCAAGCCUACGAUCUGUAGCUGGUCUGAGAGGACGACCAGCCACACUGGGACUGAGACACGGCCCAGACUCCUACGGGAGGCAGCAGUGGGGAAUUUUGGACAAUGGGGGCAACCCUGAUCCAGCCAUGCCGCGUGCGGGAAGAAGGCCUUCGGGUUGUAAACCGCUUUUGUCAGGGAAGAAAAGACUCCUACUAAUACUGGGGGUUCAUGACGGUACCUGAAGAAUAAGCACCGGCU
Molecule: ribosomal RNA, 467 nt
Filed under: uncultured bacterium
Lineage: Bacteria
Description: bacterial SSU rRNA
Rfam family: Bacterial small subunit ribosomal RNA
Source: RNAcentral